RNAcentral lists this ribosomal RNA (250 nucleotides) under uncultured bacterium. RNAcentral's name for it is "partial 16S ribosomal RNA". It matches the Rfam family "Bacterial small subunit ribosomal RNA", at positions 524 to 772 of the family's 1533-position model. The record is from RNAcentral.
UACGGAGGGGGCUAGCGUUGUUCGGAAUUACUGGGCGUAAAGCGCACGUAGGCGGCUUUGUAAGUUAGAGGUGAAAGCCCAGGGCUUAACCCCUGGAAUUGCCUUUAAGACUGCAUCGCUAGAAUUGUGGAGAGGUAAGUGGAAUUCCGAGUGUAGAGGUGAAAUUCGUAGAUAUUCGGAAGAACACCAGUGGCGAAGGCGACUUACUGGACACAUAUUGACGCUGAGGUGCGAAAGCGUGGGGAGCAAA